GUAGUUUGAUCCUGGCUCAGAUUGAACGCUGGCGGCAUGCCUUACACAUGCAAGUCGAACGGCAGCAUGAUCUAGCUUGCUAGAUUGAUGGCGAGUGGCGAACGGGUGAGUAAUACAUCCGGAACGUGCCCUGGUAGUGGGGGAUAACUAGUCGAAAGAUUAGCUAAAUACCGCAUACGACCUGAGGGUGAAAGUGGGGGACCGCAAGGCCUCAUGC
Molecule: ribosomal RNA, 217 nt
Filed under: uncultured microorganism
Description: partial 16S ribosomal RNA
Rfam family: Bacterial small subunit ribosomal RNA
Source: RNAcentral